AUAUUCGGAACAUCUUCUUCAGAAGAUGCGGAAUAACGUGACAUAUUGUAUUCAGUUUUGAAUGUUUAUUUAACAUUCAAAUAUUUUUUGGUUAAAGUGAUAUUCCUUUUGAAAAUAAAGCAGUAUGCGAGCGCUUGACUAAAAAGAAAUUGUACAUUGAAAACUAGAUAAGUAAGUAAAAUAUAGAUUUUACCAAGCAAAACCGAGUGAAUAAAGAGUUUUAAAUAAGCUUGAAUUCAUAAGAAAUAAUCGCUAGUGUUCGAAAGAACACUCACAAGAUUAAUAACGCGUUUAAAUCUUUUUAUAAAAGAACGUAACUUCAUGUUAACGUUUGACUUAUAAAAAUGGUGGAAACAUAGAUUAAGUUNAGCGGUGGAGCAUGUGGUUUAAUUCGAAGCAACGCGAAGAACCUUACCAAAUCUUGACAUCCUUUGACAACUCUAGAGAUAGAGCCUUCCCCUUCGGGGGACAAAGUGACAGGUGGUGCAUGGUUGUCGUCAGCUCGUGUCGUGAGAUGUUGGGUUAAGUCCCGCAACGAGCGCAACCCUUAAGCUUAGUUGCCAUCAUUAAGUUGGGCACUCUAAGUUGACUGCCGGUGACAAACCGGAGGAAGGUGGGGAUGACGUCAAAUCAUCAUGCCCCUUAUGAUUUGGGCUACACACGUGCUACAAUGGACAAUACAAAGGGCAGCGAAACCGCGAGGUCAAGCAAAUCCCAUAAAGUUGUUCUCAGUUCGGAUUGUAGUCUGCAACUCGACUACAUGAAGCUGGAAUCGCUAGUAAUCGUAGAUCAGCAUGCUACGGUGAAUACGUUCCCGGGUCUUGUACACACCGCCCGUCACACCACGAGAGUUUGUAACACCCGAAGCCGGUGGAGUAACCUUUUAGGAGCUAGCCGUCGAAGGUGGGACAAAUGAUUGGGGUGAAGUCGUAACAAGGUAGCCGUAUCGGAAGGUGCGGCUG
RNAcentral lists this ribosomal RNA (962 nucleotides) under Staphylococcus aureus. RNAcentral's name for it is "bacterial SSU rRNA". The stretch from base 320 to 962 matches the Rfam family "Bacterial small subunit ribosomal RNA", at positions 874 to 1520 of the family's 1533-position model. Lineage: Bacteria; Bacillati; Bacillota; Bacilli; Caryophanales; Staphylococcaceae. The record is from RNAcentral.